Molecule: transfer RNA, 73 nt
Filed under: Ornithorhynchus anatinus (platypus)
Lineage: Eukaryota; Metazoa; Chordata; Mammalia; Monotremata; Ornithorhynchidae
Rfam family: tRNA
About the family: Transfer RNA (tRNA) molecules are approximately 80 nucleotides in length. Their secondary structure includes four short double-helical elements and three loops (D, anti-codon, and T loops). Further hydrogen bonds mediate the characteristic L-shaped molecular structure. tRNAs have two regions of fundamental functional importance: the anti-codon, which is responsible for specific mRNA codon recognition, and the 3' end, to which the tRNAs corresponding amino acid is attached (by aminoacyl-tRNA synthetases). tRNAs cope with the degeneracy of the genetic code in two manners: having more than one tRNA (with a specific anti-codon) for a particular amino acid; and 'wobble' base-pairing, i.e. permitting non-standard base-pairing at the 3rd anti-codon position.
Source: Rfam by way of RNAcentral
AGCAGCGUGGCCUAAUGGAAAAAGCACUGGUCUGGAGAGUCAGAGGUCCUGGAUUCUAACCCCAGCUUUGCCA